Molecule: long non-coding RNA, 1041 nt
Organism: Cottoperca gobio
Lineage: Eukaryota; Metazoa; Chordata; Actinopteri; Perciformes; Bovichtidae
Exons: 6
Source: RefSeq, a predicted model, not a curated record
GCCAGUUUUCCAGUUUUGUCGUUUCUCCGUCAUCUCCGACUCGGGCAGUGACGGUGGUGUCUUGGGAAAUGCAGCUCUGCAGGCUCCCGGUAAACUGAGGUCGAGGGCCCCGUACUCGACAAACUCCUGCACCAUGAUGUCUGUAAGGCACAGCGAGGUCUGUUUCUACAGCUGUACUUCAAACUAAACACAAGGUGUUGGAGACCCUUGAGCUUCUACAGAGCUGCUGUUGCGCAUGAUGAUCAGAUUUGUAAGCUCUGUAGGUAGAGCAGAAAACAUGUACAUUUUUAUAAUGUUUAUGUUUAUGGUUGGACAUAUGAAGUAUCAUCAGAUCCAUAGCUUGGGAAACACACCUUUUGGUCGGGGUGGACAGCAGCGAGCCAACAUGACAGGAACCUGUACCUGAACACAGACAGUGAGGAAGAAGUUCUCAUAGUUCUUGGGACUCUGCCGGAGAAGAAAUGUACUGCCUUUAAAUCCUGACUUUUUCAACUUGUUGACUGCAAACUCGGAUCUGAUAAAACAAGAUAUGAAGAAAAUAUCUAAAACAGGAUGACAACUGGUUUCAAUUCCAGUUUCCCCUGUGACCCGCACAAGACAGAAAGCUGACUUUGAAUGCGAGGACGAAGGAUUCACUUGGAAGGUUUCGCUUCCCAGAGAGGGUUCGAUGCCUGCCAGUUCAAUCAGGUACUUGAGCUUCAAGCUGCACUCAUCUAUGGAGCAGUUACCAAGCUUCUUUAAGAAGCGCUUGAGGGUGUUUCGGAUUCGAUAACGAUCGAGGCGGUUUCGUCUCUGGAUGUCGUGGCGAUGUAACUUAGGAAGGCAUGAUUUGUAGCUGGAAGAGGAAGAGAAAAACACUUGUUGUAAUGGUUGUAAACUUCAACAAAUAUAACAAAUCAUUAUCGUCGAAACAUGUAGUCCUACAAAGUUUUAACUGGUGAGGAAAAAUGAUACAAAAUCCUGAUGUAAAUACCUGACAGUCUUGCAGAGCUCUCUUACACUCUGAUGCCGCUCUUUAGCCAUUCUCCACAAGUCCAGCAC